RNAcentral lists this unclassified non-coding RNA (253 nucleotides) under uncultured Halomonadaceae bacterium. RNAcentral's name for it is "contains 16S-23S intergenic spacer region". It matches the Rfam family "Bacterial small subunit ribosomal RNA", at positions 524 to 776 of the family's 1533-position model. Lineage: Bacteria; Pseudomonadati; Pseudomonadota; Gammaproteobacteria; Oceanospirillales; Halomonadaceae. The record is from RNAcentral.
UACGGAGGGUGCAAGCGUUAAUCGGAAUUACUGGGCGUAAAGCGCGCGUAGGCGGCUUGAUAAGCCGGUUGUGAAAGCCCCGGGCUCAACCUGGGAACGGCAUCCGGAGCUGUCAGGCUAGAGUGCAGGAGAGGAAGGUAGAAUUCCCGGUGUAGCGGUGUAAUGCGUAGAGAUCUGGAGGAAUACCGGUGGCGAAGGCGGCCCCCUGGACAAAGACUGACGCUCAGGUGCGAAAGCUAGGGGAGCAAACAGG